GGAAAAAGGCUAUCUGCGUCUAUGCCGCUGGGCAAGCAAUGCUUUGAGGCAUAAUUCUGCUGAGACUAUCGACAAAGGUGAUCUAUACAGAUGGCCUGUGCCCGAGCCAUAUUGCCAUUAUCGUCAACAUAUUCUUCAACAUAGAAAGAAUGUGUCCUAAAUUAUUGGUGUGGAAUUGUUGCUCCAUUUUCUGUCUGUAUUUAGACAACUAGUUUUACUUGUGCCUCUUCAUCAAGGAAGUAUUGAACUAAGUAUUGUCAUCCAGAUAUUCUAAGUGAGGUGCUUUGUAUAAGUAGAAAGGAAGGGUGCUAAAAUUAUUCGUGCGGAAUUGUUGUCUCCUUUUCCUUUCUGUAUUUAGCCUACUGGUUUUACUUGUGUCCCUUUAUUUAGAAAAUAUUGAACCACUUGACGCAUGCUAUGUGAAUUAUACUGCCCUGGACAGUAAAUUUGGGCCCA
Molecule: long non-coding RNA, 456 nt
Organism: Panicum virgatum (switchgrass)
Lineage: Eukaryota; Viridiplantae; Streptophyta; Magnoliopsida; Poales; Poaceae
Exons: 3
Source: RefSeq, a predicted model, not a curated record